Molecule: long non-coding RNA, 1737 nt
Organism: Pipistrellus kuhlii (Kuhl's pipistrelle)
Lineage: Eukaryota; Metazoa; Chordata; Mammalia; Chiroptera; Vespertilionidae
Exons: 2
Source: RefSeq, a predicted model, not a curated record
CUCUCCCUUCCUCUUUCUCUAAAAGCAAUAAAAACAUAUUUCUCUCUUUAAAAAACUGGACUAACUGGAAGCCCUAAAGGGAAGGGUUGGUCAUAAAAUGGUUAUUGUUUGAUGCAGUGUUUGUGGAGCUUGUAUUAUUCUGUUUAGUGCAACACAGGAACUAGGGUUGAUCUUUGAGCAAAGAAUAGAUCUGAGCAGAUACAUUUUAUCUGGCUCUGCAGGCAGAGAUUUAAUCAGGCUGUUUCAGCAAAGCUGCUAAAACCUAUUCCUGCCCAAUCUUAAAAUUUUCUCAUGUCCCUUUCUCUACUUCUCUGAGGCUUACAGUAUCUAGAUUAUUUCAUUCAGCUUGCAGAACUACAUAAGGAACCAUUUUCUACUUGCCUCCCUUGUCCUCCAUAUUCUCAGAAGUGAGCAGGUAGAAAAGGAGCUCAAGGAGUUUGGAGGAGAUAUGAUCUGCUCCCCAACUGAUGAAGCAAAAUGAGUUGAAAAAUGGAUGAAGUUCCUUAUGGGGAAACCUCCUUAUAAACUGAAAUUUGCCAAGCACUGGAGCCCCUUAGGCUGGGAGAGAGGGUGACCUAUGGAGGCUCUUUUUCAAACUUCCCUCCUCACCUAUCUAGAUGAUCAGACCCUCCUACUGAAGGUGGUGUAUGGAGCACAAAAACUCAUCCUAUGGUCUCUUCCCAGCUGGCUCAGGGGCCAAACCAUCAGCAGCUGCAUUGCGGGCACCAGAGUUAGUCAACAGGGUGAGUCCUGCCUACUGACAAUUCUGCUGCCCAGGUGCCACCUGGUGGUGGUAAGCAAUAAAGGGAAUGGAACCUGCCACCUUUCAGUGCACAGGAUGAUGUAUCAACCAACUAAGCCACAUGGCCAGAGCACAACCAAUUUUUUAGAGGGAGGGUCAAUCCAAAUAGAUACAAACUGACCCGUUGGAUUUAGUCAAUACAAGUUACAAACACUUUCAAUAUUACUUAAUAUGUCCUUGUGUUACUGUUGAUAACAGAGCCUUCCAUAUUUUUAUACACGUUUUCAAUAAAACAUAACCCUUGGGUAUAUCACUAGAUUUCUCUAACAUGAAUGCACUAAUCAACAUUUAUACAUGUUCAGUUUGGAUUCUACCAAACUCUACUAUGAAUGGAACCAUAAUUAUUAUUUUAUUUGUAAUGGUUUUGGAGGUGAGAAAGAGGAAAGCAGCUCCUGACAUUCAGGAACUGGCCUGAACAGCUCGGCUUCAGAGCUGUUAGGGGCUGACCUGGGUUCAGAGGUAAGAAACGGUGUACUAUUGGACACAAACUCACAAAACACCAACAUAGGACAAGGCAUUCAGUGACUAUCACAAUUUUGUCUAAGUACAAAACAAGGUCAAGUGUGCAAACCACAAGAUGACAAACAUCCCCCUCAUCCAGCUGAGUGACUACUGUUUCAUUACCAAUUACAACUUUGCUUCACUCUGGUCUGUCCUUUAUCAGGAUAAAAUAAUAACAGAAUUAUCUAUCCCUGCUUUUCAGAGAUCACUCAAUCCAGAAUGAAGUCCCACUUCCUUAAACCUUCCCCCAAAUCAGUUAACCAAAAUGUAAGUCUUGUAAGUCCUAAUCCCCUUUCACUUUCUACAACCACAGUUCUCAUGGCACGCUCUCUCCAUCAUUCCUAUGAGCAUUAAACCCAGCUUGUUCAACUGCAGGUGUAUUCCUGGUGGUCUUUAGCUGGAGGAUGUUAAUAAAGGACAUACAAUGUAUAGUU